Molecule: non-coding RNA, 238 nt
Organism: Phasianus colchicus (ring-necked pheasant)
Lineage: Eukaryota; Metazoa; Chordata; Aves; Galliformes; Phasianidae
Source: RefSeq, a predicted model, not a curated record
GGCAGAGCCAGGUUAGCCCCCCAUAUGUAUGAAACCUGCCAUUACAGAGUGGAGAGACCCAGGAGCAGCUAGAACAGGAUGGGCAAGCAGAAGAACAUGGUUUUCUUGUGAAGAAAGAAAUGAAGGUAUUGAAGAAGCUAGUUAUAAACGCUGCUACUGACUAAAAGAUCUGAGCAUACAACUGAAUACAUUCCAACCCUGUCCUUUACACAAAUAAAGGAAAUCAAAUAUAAAAACA